CAAAUCUUCGAAACAGUGUUUGGAUAGACGUGUUGGUGGACACCAGUCACAACAGAGCCUUCCAACACCCAGUCUGCAGCACCUAAACCUUGACAAGAUGGCUACAGUAGCGCAGACGCUCCUCAGCGAGGCAGCACAGUCCACCAUCCGUCUGAAAGUCGCUCGGUCAGGUGGCGUACAUGUUCCCUUGCGCCGGCGCUCUUGCUUGAUUCGAGCUGCUGCGACUGGGCCAGGCCCGAAGCCUAAGGCUGAUCUCCUACACAAUGUUCGGCAAGGUUGCGAUACCUUUUUGCAGGUAAUUCCUUUCGGCACACGAGCAAGCACGAGUCUCCUGGGUGAAAGGGAGCGUAUAGAGUGCAAGCAGUCAUGAGCAAGUUGUCACUUUGACUUCAGGGCAAUCUGAUAACCUCGUACAGGCUGCCCUUGCAUCGCAGAUUGUCUCAAAUUUGUCCGAACCUUUCUUUGCUCGUGAGGAAUUAGGGUGCAGAGUGGCCCUGUUCACGGGCAGCAUGCAUCUGAAGGAUUGGGGUAUCUCGUCCAUUUGGGAACGUCAUGUGCUUGCCUUCCCUGACAUUGUCUUGGUGGUUCAUGGCAGAAAUACGACGUGCUGUCAUGUGGGUUUGGAGCCCUCUGCUGCACUUCAAUCUUCGUUGCUCAAGGGCAGUCGCCAGCUGACGCGCUCUGGAUCACUGCGGCGGCAACCGUUACUGGCCUGGUGCGUUCCCUUGUGCUCUAGUGGAUAUAAGCGGCUUUUGAUCUGCUGUUGCAAGGGUGCAGCCCUCCUACGACUGUUUGUCUUCCGCUCUUUCUGAGCAGUUUCAGGGUGGGACUGAUUUUUUACCCACGUGCAGGUUGCCAACGAGCUAUUCUUUGACAAUGCAUCCUGAGCUGGUGUCGACCAGGGCGCACAUGAAGUCGCGCGGCCUGCAGAACGCAUGACACACUAGUCACUUGGCUGCAGAGGCUCUGCAUGCCAUCCUUUUUCAUAUUGUAAUCUAGCGAGUGGCCAUCAAGUACUGUGUCUACUGCCUUUCUGGGCUGCUGUAUUCUUGGUUUUCGACGCAAUGUACGGAUAUUGCUGAACAGCACUGGAAAAUUGACGUACAAAUUGUCUUCUGGCCCGCGGCUGGUCCAUCGGGCUUAGUUUGUUGAGGGCAGCCUCAACACGACGAAGAGUUGAGGUGUGUAGACUGUAUGGUAGUACUUUGGCAUUGCCGGAGACUCACUGUGAGGGUUCCUCGGAGUUGCGAGGCAGAACAUGCCAGGUCAGGGAAGAGAAAAGCAUGCAGGCUCUUCUGCAUUUUUUAGCAAAGCUGAGGCUGGGAUCAAACAAGCCAGCAUCAGUAUCUGCUUAGCAGUUGGAUUGCUCAUUCGAUAUAUGAUUCUGACUAUAUGAAUUCGCAGCAGGUUUGCAGCGCAGUCCAACAAUUUUGGUGUGUAUUGAAAGAGAUUCUGGUGACAGUACUCUGUGAAGCACAUGUGCUGCACACGAGCACUUGUGCGGGCAUGUGUGGGUGUGAGGAGUGUCGUUUCAAUGCCUUAUAAGUAGCAUUUUUGGAGGCUCUCAAGUGAGAGCCAGUUGCAUGUUGAAGCUUGAAGGGUCUAAUCAACAUGUGUACAGUAAGCGCUGUGCCAAACAUUAAGUAACAUGAUAUAAUCAAGGCAAAUAUCAUAUUUUCAUAUCAUAUCUAAACUCCUUGUUUGAUUGCUGCAUGUGCUCACUGAGUGACUGGCAGUACAUGUCAUGGCAUUUUUAUCACAGUCCGACAAAAAGUCUUUAGCCGAUAAGCUCAGAGCUGCGGCUAGCUAGCUGUAGCUCAUUCCCAAUUACAGUGCAAAUAGAUCUGUACUGCUCUCCAGGGAGUACACAAGACUGCAUGCAUGGUCAACUUGAAGGAUCUCUGCACUCAAGUCCCUUGCAGGAUCAAGUUCCGUCAGGUUGCAAUGAAAUUCACCUUUGUUAAAACUUAUUCAAGCUCCAUGAAGAACGUGUGCUCAU
This 1999-nucleotide long non-coding RNA is filed under the name Coccomyxa subellipsoidea. Its description in RNAcentral is "long non-coding RNA (CSUB_LNC000703)". Lineage: Eukaryota; Viridiplantae; Chlorophyta; Trebouxiophyceae; Coccomyxaceae. The record is from RNAcentral.